GGUAUGGGAUGAGCUUGCGUCCGAUUAGCUAGUUGGCGGGGCAACGGCCCACCAAGGCGACGAUCGGUAGCCGGCCUGAGAGGGUGAUCGGCCACAUUGGGACUGAGAUACGGCCCAGACUCCUACGGGAGGCAGCAGUAGGGAAUAUUGCACAAUGGGGGAAACCCUGAUGCAGCGACGCCACGUGUGGGAAGAAGCAUUUCGGUGUGUAAACCACUGUCAUGAGGGAAUAAGGCCCGCCUUCGGACGGGAUUGAAUGUACCUUGAGAGGAAGCACCGGCAAACUUCGUGCCAGCAGCCGCGGUAAUACGAGGGGUGCAAGCGUUGUUCGGAAUUACUGGGCGUAAAGGGAGCGUAGGCGGAGAUUCAAGCGGAUUGUACAAUCCCGGGGCCCAACCCCGGCUCUGUAGUCCGAACUGGAUCUCUUGGAUAGUUCAGGGGCAGGC
This 446-nucleotide ribosomal RNA is filed under the name uncultured bacterium. RNAcentral's name for it is "bacterial SSU rRNA". It matches the Rfam family "Bacterial small subunit ribosomal RNA", at positions 217 to 662 of the family's 1533-position model. The record is from RNAcentral.